This 30-nucleotide non-coding RNA is filed under the name Mus musculus (house mouse). The record is from RNAcentral. Lineage: Eukaryota; Metazoa; Chordata; Mammalia; Rodentia; Muridae.
UAACACCCAUGCCAGGUGCCGGAGUGUUUC